Molecule: long non-coding RNA, 634 nt
Organism: Equus caballus (horse)
Lineage: Eukaryota; Metazoa; Chordata; Mammalia; Perissodactyla; Equidae
Source: RefSeq, a predicted model, not a curated record
GGGGGUGGUGUUGGGGGCGGGUGUCGGGGUGGGGGCUGUCCUGAAUCCACCUGGAACACUUUCGGAAAGACAAACGCGGUUCCUCCUACUUCAGAGCAAGUCUGGGCCAGCUGGGAUCCGACCAGAAACCGCGAGCGGAGGCGGCGCAGGCUCGCGGGGUGAGCGCUCCCCGAGGGCGCGACCCGCCGCCCGCUCCGCCGCGCCCGGCCCCAGGGCCGCGCCGCCGGUCCCCACCGCACCCGGACCACGCAGGGUGCCCAGCGCCCUCCCAACACGCGGGGCCCCCACGCCCGCCCCUGACUCACGGUGCAUCCUCUGCAUCCCCCCAGACGCCCCCCUCCCCACCUUGCUCAAGUGACACACAUAAACGCUGCUCUGCACCAGAAAGGGACAAAUCCAUUUCUGAAGACAGGACAAGAAAAGUCCCAAUGGGUCAGAAGGUUCUUGCAGACUAAGAGUUUAAAAAAGAUGUCCCGAGGGACUAGAAUUCAGUGGAGAGUCUGAAGUAGUUUCGUUCCCUUAUUUACCUGCAGGAGUAUCUGUGUAGGAGGAAGCAGGGUAAGACCUCCGUUGAACUUGGAACUAAACUUGAAUGCCAUGUAAAAUAAAAAUAGACUUAAAACACCAACCACAA